CAAUAGCGUAUAUUAAAGUUGUUGCAGUUAAAAAGCUCGUAGUUGGAUUUGUGGCGUACGGUGUGUUCCGGGCACUUGUUGUCUGAGUAACCUGCUGUUGCCAUCCUUGGGUGGAACCUGUGUGGCAUUAGGUUGUCGUGCAGGGGAUGCCCAUCAUUUACUGUGAAAAAAUUAGAGUGUUCAAAGCAGGCUUAUGCCGUUGAAUAUAUUAGCAUGGAAUAAUGAGAUAGGACUUUUUUGCUAUUUUGUUGGUUUGCGCAAAGAGGUAAUGAUUAAUAGGGACAGUUGGGGGUAUUCGUAUUCCAUUGUCAGAGGUGAAAUUCUUGGAUUUUUAGAAGACGAACUACUGCGAAAGCAUUUACCAAGGAUGUUUUCAUUAA
RNAcentral lists this ribosomal RNA (380 nucleotides) under uncultured eukaryote. RNAcentral describes it as "partial 18S ribosomal RNA". It matches the Rfam family "Eukaryotic small subunit ribosomal RNA", at positions 592 to 976 of the family's 1831-position model. The record is from RNAcentral.